This 253-nucleotide ribosomal RNA is filed under the name uncultured bacterium. RNAcentral's name for it is "partial 16S ribosomal RNA". It matches the Rfam family "Bacterial small subunit ribosomal RNA", at positions 524 to 776 of the family's 1533-position model. The record is from RNAcentral.
UACGGAGGAUCCAAGCGUUGUCCGGAUUUACUGGGUUUAAAGGGUGCGUAGGCGGGCAGGUAAGUCCGUGGUGAAAUCUCUGAGCUUAACUCAGAAACUGCCAUGGAUACUAUUUGUCUUGAAUAUUGUGGAGGUAAGCGGAAUAUGUCAUGUAGCGGUGAAAUGCUUAGAUAUGACAUAGAACACCAAUUGCGAAGGCAGCUUACUACACAGUUAUUGACGCUGAGGCACGAAAGCGUGGGGAUCAAACAGG